UACGUAGGGUGCGAGCGUUAAUCGGAAUUACUGGGCGUAAAGCGUGCGCAGGCGGUUAGCUGUGUCCGAUGUGAAAGCCCCGGGCUUAACCUGGGAAUGGCAUUGGAAACUGGCUCGCUGGAGUGUGGCAGAGGGGGGUGGAAUUCCGCGUGUAGCAGUGAAAUGCGUAGAGAUGCGGAGGAACACCGAUGGCGAAGGCAGCCCCCUGGGCUAACACUGACGCUCAGGCACGAAAGCGUGGGGAGCAAACAGG
This 253-nucleotide ribosomal RNA is filed under the name uncultured bacterium. RNAcentral describes it as "partial 16S ribosomal RNA". It matches the Rfam family "Bacterial small subunit ribosomal RNA", at positions 524 to 776 of the family's 1533-position model. The record is from RNAcentral.